RNAcentral lists this ribosomal RNA (347 nucleotides) under Acetobacter pasteurianus. Its description in RNAcentral is "bacterial SSU rRNA". It matches the Rfam family "Bacterial small subunit ribosomal RNA", at positions 461 to 807 of the family's 1533-position model. The record is from RNAcentral. Lineage: Bacteria; Pseudomonadati; Pseudomonadota; Alphaproteobacteria; Acetobacterales; Acetobacteraceae.
GGACGAUGAUGACGGUACCCGUAGAAGAAGCCCCGGCUAACUUCGUGCCAGCAGCCGCGGUAAUACGAAGGGGGCUAGCGUUGCUCGGAAUGACUGGGCGUAAAGGGCGUGUAGGCGGUUUGUACAGUCAGAUGUGAAAUCCCCGGGCUUAACCUGGGAGCUGCAUUUGAUACGUGCAGACUAGAGUGUGAGAGAGGGUUGUGGAAUUCCCAGUGUAGAGGUGAAAUUCGUAGAUAUUGGGAAGAACACCGGUGGCGAAGGCGGCAACCUGGCUCAUUACUGACGCUGAGGCGCGAAAGCGUGGGGAGCAAACAGGAUUAGAUACCCUGGUAGUCCACGCUGUAAAC